Paramuricea clavata is the source of this 288-nucleotide non-coding RNA. NCBI's taxonomy places the organism in Eukaryota, Metazoa, Cnidaria, Anthozoa, Malacalcyonacea, Plexauridae. The record is from the annotation of a GenBank genome assembly.
GCGCGAAACGGUUGAACGCAUGCGCAACAUGAUUUUGGAAUGUUUCUCUGCGAAAUAUUUCUCUUCGCCGGGUAGUUGAAUUCGUUUCUACUCCGUUGCGAAAUGGAAAUAGCGAAACCAAUCAGAUGCUUGUGUUUUGGAUGACAAAAUAGCGAAACCAAUCAAAUGCUUGUGUUUUGGCGAAUUUUUUCUCCAAGUGUGGAAAUCGCUACGAGAGAAAAUUUUCGCACAAGUGUGUUUUCGCUCGAAAUUUUUCGCAUUUCGCUUGUCGUGGAAUUAGACCUUAAG